UCCCCGAUAGUCUAGUGGUGAGGAUAUCUGCUUGUCAUUGAAUGGUCAGCGAUUCGCAGGGGACCGGGGUUCAAUUCCCCGUCGAGGAG
Molecule: transfer RNA, 89 nt
Organism: Colletotrichum orchidophilum
Lineage: Eukaryota; Fungi; Ascomycota; Sordariomycetes; Glomerellales; Glomerellaceae
Rfam family: tRNA
About the family: Transfer RNA (tRNA) molecules are approximately 80 nucleotides in length.
Source: Rfam